This 465-nucleotide ribosomal RNA is filed under the name Vreelandella stevensii. RNAcentral describes it as "partial 16S ribosomal RNA". It matches the Rfam family "Bacterial small subunit ribosomal RNA", at positions 338 to 795 of the family's 1533-position model. The record is from RNAcentral. Lineage: Bacteria; Pseudomonadati; Pseudomonadota; Gammaproteobacteria; Oceanospirillales; Halomonadaceae.
CCUACGGGUGGCUGCAGUGGGGAAUAUUGGACAAUGGGGGGAACCCUGAUCCAGCCAUGCCGCGUGUGUGAAGAAGGCCCUCGGGUUGUACAGCACUUUCAGUGAGGAAGAACGCCUGGUGGUUAAUACCCAUCAGGAAAGACAUCACUCACAGAAGAAGCACCGGCUAACUCCGUGCCAGCAGCCGCGGUAAUACGGAGGGUGCGAGCGUUAAUCGGAAUUACUGGGCGUAAAGCGCGCGUAGGUGGCUUGAUAAGCCGGUUGUGAAAGCCCCGGGCUCAACCUGGGAACGGCAUCCGGAACUGUCAAGCUAGAGUGCAGGAGAGGAAGGUAGAAUUCCCGGUGUAGCGGUGAAAUGCGUAGAGAUCGGGAGGAAUACCAGUGGCGAAGGCGGCCUUCUGGACUGACACUGACACUGAGGUGCGAAAGCGUGGGUAGCAAACAGGAUUAGAUACCCUAGUAGUC